UACACUCCUACGGGAGGCAGCAGUGGGGAAUUUUGGACAAUGGGCGAAAGCCUGAUCCAGCAAUGCCGCGUGUGUGAAGAAGGCCUUCGGGUUGUAAAGCACUUUUGUCCGGAAAGAAAUCCUUGGCUCUAAUACAGUCGGGGGAUGACGGUACCGGAAGAAUAAGCACCGGCUAACUACGUGCCAGCAGCCGCGGUAAUACGUAGGGUGCGAGCGUUAAUCGGAAUUACUGGGCGUAAAGCGUGCGCAGGCGGUUUGCUAAGACCGAUGUGAAAUCCCCGGGCUCAACCUGGGAACUGCAUUGGUGACUGGCAGGCUAGAGUAUGGCAGAGGGGGGUAGAAUUCCACGUGUAGCAGUGAAAUGCGUAGAGAUGUGGAGGAAUACCGAUGGCGAAGGCAGCCCCCUGGGCCAAUACUGACGCUCAUGCACGAAAGCGUGGGGAGCAAACAGGAUUAGAAACCCGGGUAGUCCCA
Molecule: ribosomal RNA, 474 nt
Filed under: uncultured organism
Description: partial 16S ribosomal RNA
Rfam family: Bacterial small subunit ribosomal RNA
Source: RNAcentral